AUGUCGGCUCUUGUGCCCCCGCCGCCGGCAUUCCCGCCCCCGCAGAUGAUGUCGUACGGCGCGGUCGAGAGGGCGGCGGCAACGAGCGGCUCGUACGGUCCGGUGAUCGCCAUGCUGGCCGUCCUCGCCGUGCUCGCGGCGGUGGCCGUGGCCGUGGGGCGGUUCUGCUUCGGGCGCCGCGCGCUCGGCCGGGCCGGUGGCCACGACCUGGAGGCCUGGGUGGAGCGGAAGUGCGGGCCGUGCGUGGGCGCCGGCAUGCACUCCUCCGCCCCCGCCGGCGACCUGGCGAAGCAGGAGGAGGGCGACGGCACGGCGGAGCUGCAGGAGCAGCCGCCUGAAGGAACGGAGCCAGGGGAGUGCAGUGGCAGUGCUGGUCGGUCCUGA
This 384-nucleotide ribosomal RNA is filed under the name Triticum aestivum (bread wheat). RNAcentral describes it as "partial small subunit ribosomal RNA". Lineage: Eukaryota; Viridiplantae; Streptophyta; Magnoliopsida; Poales; Poaceae. The record is from RNAcentral.